GGGUCUCUAUUUGGCGCUGACUAGACGGCUGAGGUUGAAGGGUGGGGCCUAGACCAGUUUUCUCUGGGCAGCCCGCUGAGCCCGGAGCUCCUUUACUCCCAACCUCUGUAGGAGGCGCUGGGGGUGCGAGAGGCAUGGGGCUCCUGAUCCUCGCUGCUAUGGGUACCCAACGGUACCCCCUUCUAGGAGACAAACAGCCCUUGCCUGUAGCAGCCUGAGGGCCGCCACAGUGUUUUCCUUUCAUAACUGGAAGAUGAUGGGAGGGGGAGGACGUGGCCUCACCCCUGCCUUUCCCCUCCAGCAGUUCUCAUUCCCUCUGAAAGCCCAAGAGCAGCAUUGCUUAGCUCUGUGGGGUUUAGAGCAGGGUAGGGUUUUUUUUGCUAUUUAAGAACUGACCUUAAAUGAGGAAAUGCAGUGCAGUCCAUGGAUAGUGCACUGGACUGGGAGCCAGGAGACCUGGGCUCUGUUCCCAGCUCUGCCCCUGAUGAGCAUGUGGAAGUAAUGCUUUCUACCAUCUCCAAUGGGCUAAGAGACUCAUUCCAUCCUGGGGCACAAUGAUCUGACCUCAGCUGUUCCGGCUUUUGUCACCUCUCAGCUGGGCUACAAUAAUGUGAUGUAGCUGGGCAUGAAGCCUUCAGCUCCCAGGAAACUCCAACUAGUAUAGAACAUUGCAGUGCAUCACUUCAGCAACACAGACAACUGUGAGCACGUCAGAACUGUCCCCUGCUCUCUACCCUGGCUUCUCAGAGAAUAUCAAGUUGAAGGUCUCAGAACUUAUCUUCAAAGUGUUCCAUGGCUUGUGCCCAGGAUAUCUAAAAGACAAUCUAAAGUUACAGGAUGAAGACCAUGAUUGACAACUUUGCUUCUCUGGCACAAUGGAAUCUCUACCACAAGGGUAUUGAAAUGGCACCCGUAUCUCUCACCUGGAAUGACUGCAAAUUAAUUCUUGGCGCUAGAUGACAUCAGUGUAGCAGCGAAGUUCCAGUUUGAUUCCAAGACAGCACAAAAUGUAUUUUGAAUGUGAUGUUAGUGGAGGGACUGCAGAUCAGAACUGAGCUACUGUACUGGGAUAGAGUUGAGAGGAGGAAGGAACAGGAAUAGCAACAGAUG
Long non-coding RNA from Mauremys reevesii (Reeves's turtle), 1110 nucleotides. RefSeq lists it as uncharacterized. Lineage: Eukaryota; Metazoa; Chordata; Testudines; Geoemydidae. The transcript is spliced from 3 exons. The record is from RefSeq and is a predicted model, not a curated record.